RNAcentral lists this long non-coding RNA (514 nucleotides) under Homo sapiens (human). RNAcentral's name for it is "HSALNT0350720". Lineage: Eukaryota; Metazoa; Chordata; Mammalia; Primates; Hominidae. The record is from RNAcentral.
GAACAAAGUUGGAGAACUUGUAUUUCCCAAUUUCAGAAUUUGCUACAAAGCAACAAUGUUCACAGCAGCAUUAUUCACAGGAGCCAGAAGGUGGCAGCACCCCGAGUGUCCAUGAAGGGACAAGUGGGAUAAGCACUUCGCCAUCUCCACACAGGGAAUAUUGAGCCCUGAAGGAGUGAAAUUCUGGCAGCGCCACACCAUGGGAGAACAUUCAGGACCUUAUGCUGAGUGGGAGAAGCCAGACACAAAAGGACAAACGCUGUUUACGUCCACUUACACGAAGUGCCUCGAGCAGUGAAAUUCGUAGAGAGAGAAGGUGGAUGGUGGGUGCAGGAGCUGCGGGAGAGAGAAGGUGGAUGGUGGGGUGCAGGAGCUGCGGGGGAGAGAAGGUGGAUGGUGGGUGCAGGAGCUGCGGGGGAGGGAAGGUGGAUGGUGGGUGCAGGAGCUGCGGGGGAGGGAAGGUUGAUGGUGGGUGCAGGAGCUGCGGGGGAGGGAAUGGGAGUUAGCAUUUAAU